This 270-nucleotide long non-coding RNA is filed under the name Capsicum annuum. RNAcentral describes it as "long non-coding RNA (CANN_LNC022052)". The record is from RNAcentral. Lineage: Eukaryota; Viridiplantae; Streptophyta; Magnoliopsida; Solanales; Solanaceae.
AGCCCUGGUCCUCCUUGGACACUGUGCACCUCAACGUAGGCAAACAACCUAAGUUGAGGGUGGCUAUUAUAGGGGUGCGUGAUAUAAGUUGGGUAUGAAGAAGGGUAGAAUAGAAGAGAAAGAAUCAAAGAAAAAGAAUAAAAGGUUGGGUGUUGGUGAAAAAGAGCAAGUAAAGAAAAUCUGUUGGAAUAAAGAGAAGUACACCCAUCCUGAAUGUGUGAUCAAGAAAAGAAAAAGAGAGAAAAAGAGGUUAAUAAGUGGACCCCACAA